This 381-nucleotide ribosomal RNA is filed under the name uncultured eukaryote. Its description in RNAcentral is "partial 18S ribosomal RNA". It matches the Rfam family "Eukaryotic small subunit ribosomal RNA", at positions 592 to 976 of the family's 1831-position model. The record is from RNAcentral.
CAAUAGCGUAUAUUAAAGUUGUUGCGGUAAAAAAGCUCGUAGUUGGAUUUCUACCGAAGAUAGCCGGUCGGGUCUUCGACCUUGUAUCUGGUUUUGUCUUUGGUAUCCUCAUAGGGAACGUUUCUGCGCUUUAUUGCGUGGUGCGGUAUCUAUGACUUUUACUUUGAGGAAAUUAGAGUGUUCACGGCAGGCAAACGCCUUGAAUAUAUUAGCAUGGAAUAAUAACAUAGGAUCUUCGUCCUAUUUUGUUGGUUUCUAGGGCUAAGAUAAUGAUUAAUAGGGAUAAUUGGGGGCAUCUGUAGCAACGCGUCAGAGGUGGAAUUCUUGGAUUGCGUUGCGACAAACUACUGCGAAAGCAUUUGCCAAGGAUGUUUUCAUUGA